AUUACUUUGGCAGAAUAGUGCUUUAAAUUUAGAAUUUAAUUAUGUAUAAUUUAUACAGGUAAUA
RNAcentral lists this transfer RNA (64 nucleotides) under Bisnius sordidus. Its description in RNAcentral is "tRNA-Leu". The record is from RNAcentral. Lineage: Eukaryota; Metazoa; Arthropoda; Insecta; Coleoptera; Staphylinidae.